AACGAACGCUGGCGGCAUGCCUAACACAUGCAAGUCGAACGAGACCUUCGGGUCUAGUGGCGCACGGGUGCGUAACGCGUGGGAACCUGCCUUUAGGUUCGGAAUAACUCAGAGAAAUUUGAGCUAAUACCGGAUGAUGUCUUCGGACCAAAGAUUUAUCGCCUUUAGAUGGGCCCGCGUUGGAUUAGCUAGUUGGUGGGGUAAAGGCCUACCAAGGCGACGAUCCAUAGCUGGUCUGAGAGGAUGAUCAGCCACACUGGGACUGAGACACGGCCCAGACUCCUACGGAAGGCAGCAGUGGGGAAUAUUGGACAAUGGGCGAAAGCCUGAUCCAGCAAUGCCGCGUGAGUGAUGAAGGCCUUAGGGUUGUAAAGCUCUUUUACCCGAGAUGAUAAUGACGGUAUCGGGAGAAUAAGCUCCGGCUAACUCCGUG
This 433-nucleotide ribosomal RNA is filed under the name uncultured bacterium. RNAcentral describes it as "partial 16S ribosomal RNA". It matches the Rfam family "Bacterial small subunit ribosomal RNA", at positions 29 to 507 of the family's 1533-position model. The record is from RNAcentral.